Molecule: long non-coding RNA, 204 nt
Organism: Vigna angularis (adzuki bean)
Lineage: Eukaryota; Viridiplantae; Streptophyta; Magnoliopsida; Fabales; Fabaceae
Exons: 3
Source: RefSeq, a predicted model, not a curated record
UCAUCCGAUCAAAUUUCAGAACCGUAGGAACGUUCCCUGCGCCGUGAGCUUCAAUCUGAACCGAACAGAUCCAAGUUCUGUAACCGACUUAGUUGAAGAACGUAAGAAAGAUCGUGGAGGGUAGAAAGCCAUAGUUGGGCAAGUCCAAGUUAUACUGUUAGACGAACACUACUAUCCAAAUGGAAGUGAGCUGCUGGAAGAUGC